GCCUUCUGCAACCUUCCCGUUUUGAACAGAGAUAAUUCCCAGAGAUUUAUACUCCAAUUUUCAUGGCUCAUCAGGAGCUAGCCACCACUUCAGACUAUAUGUAGCCUACUGCGCACCAAGUAGAAGCAGCUGCGCUCACGAAUUGGAAGUGCAGGGAUAACAUUCCAACAGAGCACAUGCCUAGUCACCCAACUUCCAGCAGGGGUAAUCCUGGUCCACCCCAGGAGAGCAACCCAGACCCUGUAGGAAUGUGGGUUGAAAAACAUAGGCAGUGUCCACUGCAAUGCACUAAAUAUGGCAGAGGCUGCAUGCUUCCCUACUUUAAAGAGCCGAUAUGCUCAAUCUCGGAUUAGAGUUGGACCAACUGGCAGUUUGUCAGAAGCUGCAAUGUACAAGACGAAAUGCCAGGCUACAGUCCACAAAACCAGCCAGCACCACGUACACAGCAGUUGUCUGGGCUACAUGCAGAAUGCCCAAAUGUGGUGGAGCAGCUCACCCAAACGCACUGUACCUCAACAAUUGGUACCGCCGCUAAUCGUCAUUUGAAGCUCCUGGGUGGCAACAAUGACCAUAGUACACCUCAGCCCCAACACAUGCAAUAUAAAUCAAAGUUACAUGAGCACUACAAAGUUUGUUUCACCCCAGUGGCCAGUAGGUGUUAGCCCACCUGCCACACCAAGUUGUAAUGGCCAUUAGAGUGAACCCCAAAAAAACCUCCAUUUGUAGAAAUAUGCUUUAUUGUAUGUAUUUGGGCUGUGUACUAUGGUUCUUGCUGCCACCCAGGAGUAAUAGGAGUCUGAGCACAGGACUUUGUGUACUUGCUUUUGUAUCAACAUGGCAGUUGAUGCCUUGGUUCAAUCACAAAUUCAGGUAUUAUUCCAAGCACAUCAGAACUCUGGCCAUUGCCAUUUUAGUCACUUCACGAUAUCAUUGUCAAUAUGAUAGUCUAUCAAUACCUGUCAUCCACCUACACUUUAGCUCAUGCCCACCUACAGAAUCAAUCUUAUUUUCCAAUCUACAAUGGUGCCCGGUCAACAUACUAGACCAGCUUAGCCAAUACUCACAGGACUACACAUAAUCCUUUCACAUCAGGAUUCUAUUCCUUAACUUUGAUAUAACCCCCUUAACAUUUUUAGAAUAGGCACUACUUCUGCAGCUUCAAGUAAAUAUCCCAGUACACAUCAAGACAAACAUAGGAAUGCAUCUGCAUACACCAGACCCCUCCCAAGAAAGGCGUUUGAGGCAGGCAUGUAAAGAAUUGGUUAUUUCAUAAGAGUUAAUCCCUUUGCAGGCCUACCCAAACAUUAGUUUUGUCACACCAUUACUUGGCUUUAAUAUCCCCAACCAGGAAGACUGAGCCUGAAAUUGUGGGAAGGUGUUACCUAGCCUACACACCCAGACAUAGGACCAAUAUGUAUGCACCAGGAACACAUUAAGACACAAGUAUAGCUCCAGAUGCUAUACAUGAGUGUCAAUAUGUACACACCAGAGAAAGGCAAACACCAGACACUGCACACAGGAUUCAGGGUACUGAGUAUUUCCUUUCAUGCAAGACUUCUGCCUGCUUUAAUAAAGUUCUAUUACUUUAUUGAAAUUAUAUUACCCCUUAAAGGACCACUAUGCCAGGAAAAUGUUUUCCUGGCACUAUAGUGUCCUGAGGGUGCCCCCACCCGCCUGGCUCUGGAGAGGAAAGGGUUAACACUUUCCAGCACCGGGUGGAGAACUCUCCUCCCUUUCGGCUGAAUGCGCAUGCGUGGCAAGGGCUGUGCACGCAUUCAGCCGUCUCAUAGGAAAGCAUUUACAAUGCAUUCCUACGGACGCUUGUGUGUUCACUGAUUUUCACAGUGAGAAUCAUGCAAGUGCCUCUAGCAGCUGUCAAUGAGACAGCCACUAGAGGAUUUGGAGGCUGGAUUAACCCUAUUAACAGUUUCUCUAAAACUGCUAUGUUUAUAAA
Non-coding RNA from Pelobates cultripes (western spadefoot toad), 1954 nucleotides. The record is from the annotation of a GenBank genome assembly. NCBI's taxonomy places the organism in Eukaryota, Metazoa, Chordata, Amphibia, Anura, Pelobatidae.